Molecule: ribosomal RNA, 373 nt
Filed under: uncultured organism
Description: partial 16S ribosomal RNA
Rfam family: Bacterial small subunit ribosomal RNA
Source: RNAcentral
GUAGGUGGCAAGCGUUGUCCGGAAUUAUUGGGGCGUAAAGCGCGCGCAGGCGGUUCUUUAAGUCUGAUGUGAAAGCCCACGGGCUCAACCGUGGAGGGUCAUUGGAAACUGGAGAACUUGAGUACAGAAGAGGAAAGCGGAAUUCCACGUGUAGCGGUGAAAUGCGUAGAGAUGUGGAGGAACACCAGUGGCGAAGGCGGCUUUCUGGUCUGUAACUGACGCUGAGGCGCGAAAGCGUGGGGAGCAAACAGGAUUAGAUACCCUGGUAGUCCACGCCGUAAACGAUGAGUGCUAAGUGUUAGGGGGUUUCCGCCCCUUAGUGCUGCAGCUAACGCAUUAAGCACUCCGCCUGGGGAGCACGGCCGCAAGGCUG